This 268-nucleotide unclassified non-coding RNA is filed under the name Dujonia railenensis. RNAcentral's name for it is "[Candida] railenensis partial internal transcribed spacer region". The stretch from base 1 to 46 matches the Rfam family "Eukaryotic small subunit ribosomal RNA", at positions 1786 to 1831 of the family's 1831-position model. The record is from RNAcentral. RNAcentral also lists the same sequence under 3 other names. Lineage: Eukaryota; Fungi; Ascomycota; Pichiomycetes; Serinales; Debaryomycetaceae.
AAGUCGUAACAAGGUUUCCGUAGGUGAACCUGCGGAAGGAUCAUUACAGUAUUCUUUUGCCAGCGCUUAAUUGCGCGGCGAAAAACCUUACACACUAUGUUUUUUUAAUUUGAAACUAUUGCUUUGGUCUGGCUUAGAAAUAGGUUGGGCCAAAGGUUUUAUCAAAACUUCAAUAUUUAUUAUUGAAUUGUUAUUUUUAAUUUUAUGUCAAUUUGUUGAUUAAUAUCAAAAAUCUUCAAAACUUUCAACAACGGAUCUCUUGGUUCUC